This 837-nucleotide ribosomal RNA is filed under the name Geosmithia sp. RNAcentral describes it as "partial large subunit ribosomal RNA". It matches the Rfam family "Eukaryotic large subunit ribosomal RNA", at positions 68 to 937 of the family's 3401-position model. Lineage: Eukaryota; Fungi; Ascomycota; Sordariomycetes; Hypocreales; Bionectriaceae. The record is from RNAcentral.
ACNGGGANUGCCUUAGUAACGGCGAGUGAAGCGGCAACAGCUCAAAUUUGAAAUCUCGGCCCCCAGGCCCGAGUUGUAAUUUGUAGAGGAUGCUUCUGGCGACGCGCCUUCCGAGUUCCCUGGAACGGGACGCCAAAGAGGGUGAGAGCCCCGUCCGGUCGUGCGCCUAGCCUCUGUGAAGCUCCUUCGACGAGUCGAGUAGUUUGGGAAUGCUGCUCUAAAUGGGAGGUAUACGUCUUCUAAAGCUAAAUACCGGCCAGAGACCGAUAGCGCACAAGUAGAGUGAUCGAAAGAUGAAAAGCACUUUGAAAAGAGGGUUAAAUAGUACGUGAAAUUGCUGAAAGGGAAGCGCUUAUGACCAGACUUGGGCUUGGUGAAUCAUCCGGCGUUCUCGCCGGUGCACUUUGCCGGUCCAGGCCAGCAUCAGUUCGUCCCGGGGGAUAAAGGCUUCGGGAAUGUAGCUCUUUCGGGAGUGUUAUAGACCGUUGCGUAAUACCCUGGGGUGGACUGAGGUACGCGUUCUGCAAGGAUGCUGGCGUAAUGGUCAUCAGCGACCCGUCUUGAAACACGGACCAAGGAGUCGUCUUCGUAUGCGAGUGUUCGGGUGUCAAACCCCUACGCGUAAUGAAAGUGAACGUAGGAGAGAGCUUCGGCGCAUCUCCGACCGAUCCUGAUGUUCUCGGAUGGAUUUGAGUAAGAGCAUACGGGGCCGGACCCGAAAGAAGGUGAACUAUGCCUGUAUAGGGUGAAGCCAGAGGAAACUCUGGUGGAGGCUCGCAGCGGUUCUGACGUGCAAAUCGAUCGUCAAAUAUGGGCAUGGGGGCGAAAGACUAAUCG